RNAcentral lists this ribosomal RNA (441 nucleotides) under uncultured bacterium. RNAcentral's name for it is "partial 16S ribosomal RNA". It matches the Rfam family "Bacterial small subunit ribosomal RNA", at positions 339 to 795 of the family's 1533-position model. The record is from RNAcentral.
CUACGGGGGGCAGCAGUCGAGAAUAUUCGACAAUGGGCGAAAGCCUGAUCGAGCGACGCCGCGUGCGGGAAGAAGGCCUUCGGGUCGUAAACCGCGGUAACUUGUGAUGAAAAAAAUGACAGUAACAAGUGGAAAGAGGUGGGUAACUACGUGCCAGCACCAGCGGUAAAACGUAGACCUCAAGCGUUAUCCGGAUUUAUUGGGCGUAAGGCGCGUGUAGGGGGUUUGGUAAGUUUCUUGUUAAAUUUCGCGGCUCAACCGUGAAGCCGCAAGGAAUACUGCUAAACUAGAGGACGUCAGAGGCCAAUGGAACGCAUGGUGUAGGGGUGAAAUCCGUUGAUAUCAUGCGGAACACCGAAGGCGAAGGCAAUUGGCUGGGAUGUUCCUGACCCUGAGACGCGAAAGCGUGGGGAGCAAAAAGGAUUAGAUACCCCGGUAGUC